This 632-nucleotide ribosomal RNA is filed under the name Mexiare toledoi. RNAcentral's name for it is "eukaryotic LSU rRNA". It matches the Rfam family "Eukaryotic large subunit ribosomal RNA", at positions 386 to 798 of the family's 3401-position model. Lineage: Eukaryota; Metazoa; Arthropoda; Insecta; Hymenoptera; Braconidae. The record is from RNAcentral.
CCUGAGAAACCUAAAAGAUCGAAUGGGGAGAUUCAUCGUCAGCGCAUUUUGUAUAUAUAUAAGUUUAUGAUGUGAGUUACUCAUUGUAGUAUUGCUUAUACAUACUUGUAUAUUUAUUUGCAAGAUGUUGUCGGCGUGCACUUCUCCCCUAGUAGAACAUCGCGACCCGUUGAGUGUUGGUUUACAACCCAAGUGGGAGACUUUAAUGUUUUUAUAAUAUUAAAGACCCUUGGUGUCAUUUAACCAGCUGUUCGACGGUAUUCGUACGGUAUUUAGCCGCAUUUAUAUGCGUCCAUAUCCGUCGCAAGCGUGGCCAAUAUUUGGUAGUACGGACUUAGUGCUGUCGCUAGAAUUGGCCAGCUGUUGGUUGUACGGUUAUUCUAGGACUGGCUAAAAUUAAAUUACCGGUCGGCGAUGCUACUGCUUUAGGUACUUUCAGGACCCGUCUUGAAACACGGACCAAGGAGUCUAACAUGUACGCGAGUCAUUGGGAUAUUUUUUAAAAUUAAACCUAAAGGCGUAAUGAAAGUAAAGGUUGUCCUUGCGUCAACUAAGGGAGGAUAAGUUGUAUUGAGAUACAUCUUCGCACUCCCAGGGCGUUUCAUUCUCAUUAUGAGAAGAGGCGCACCUAG